RNAcentral lists this non-coding RNA (24 nucleotides) under Mus musculus (house mouse). The record is from RNAcentral. Lineage: Eukaryota; Metazoa; Chordata; Mammalia; Rodentia; Muridae.
UCUUAGCCGGGACUCUUAAAGCGU